This is a long non-coding RNA of Homo sapiens (human), 881 nucleotides long. The record is from Ensembl. NCBI's taxonomy places the organism in Eukaryota, Metazoa, Chordata, Mammalia, Primates, Hominidae.
GUGCCUAGCCGGCCCCCACAAUCAGCACGGCUGCUCUGACGUAGAGGGCCACCUGGCAAGACACUGGGGGAAACCUCCAGCAAAGAGCCAGAAAGGAACUGAGGUCCUCCGUCCGACAGCCUGUGAAGAACUGCAGCCUGCCAAUAACCACGUGAGUUUAGAACUGGAUCCUACUCCAGUUAAGGCUUGAAAUGACUGUAGCUUCAGCCAACACCUGACUGCAGCCUCAUGAGAGACCCUAACGCAGAGGACCCUGCUGUGCAUAACUGGAAACUAUGGUUUCUUAGCAGGAUGGCUGUGACUCAGGAUCUCUCAUAAAAUUUAAGUCAAUCUAUUGGCUGAGGCUGCUGUCAUCUGAAGGCUUGACUGGGCUGGAGGAUCUACUUCCAAGAAGGUGCACUCCCAUGGCUAUUAGCUGGAGGCCUGCAUUCCUCAAAGGCUCUUGGCUAGAGGCCUCAGUUAAUUCCUGACCAUACGGGCCUCUCCACAGGGCUACCUGAGUAUCCUCAAGACAUGGCAACUGGCCUUCCCCAGAGACAGUGAUUCAAAAAUGAGAAAGAGAGGCUAAGAUGGAAGGCACAAUACUUUUUUAUAAAUUAGCCUUUAACAUCUUUCAGAGGUGGAACUUAAUUCCUCUCCCUUUAUGUGUGGGCUGGAUUUAGUGAGUUGAUUCUCAUAGACAGAAUAAAACAAAGCACAAGUGUUUAUUUUUUUUCUUGUACUUCCUGUAGUUUUACCUUUGUGAAUAUUGAUAUUGUGUUAUUCAGUGCUUCUAUCUGCACUGUUAAUUGCACUUUUUAACAAAAUUGAAAGCCCAUUUUGACUUAUUUAAUGCUUUGUCCUGUAUUCAACCUUGUCUGAUAUUAAAAUGACUAACUUGU